GGCCCUCAAUCUGGAAUCUCAAAUGGUAUUCUCACGGGAUCCCGAGGCUGAAGAAAUAGAAGCUGAAUAUGCUGCAUUAGACAAACGAGAGUAUUCUAAAUAUCCUGUCAUCUUCAUAGCCAUAAAGUAUAAAAAUACAUCUAGGCCAACCACGGUGGCUCAUGCCUAUAGUUCCAGUGCUUUGGGAGGCCAAGGCACCGGAGUUCUGAGACCAGCCUGGGCUAUAGCAAGACUCUGUCUACAAAAAAUUUUAAAAAUUUGCCAGGAAUGGUGGCCCACACUCGUUGUCCUAACUACUCAGGAGGCUGAGGCAAGAGGAUCGCUUGAGCCCAAGAGUUCAAGGCUGCCAUGAGCUAUGAUCAUGCCAGGGCACUCCAGCCUGGUGACAAAGUGAGACCCUGUCUCUAACUUUAAAAAUAAAUAAAUAAUAACAUCUAG
This 438-nucleotide small RNA is filed under the name Pongo abelii (Sumatran orangutan). RNAcentral's name for it is "processed transcript". Lineage: Eukaryota; Metazoa; Chordata; Mammalia; Primates; Hominidae. The record is from RNAcentral.